GUGCUCGUGGCCCGGUGGCCGGGUAUCUCGUUGCCGACGGGGCCACGCGAGUUCGAUUCUCGCCGAGCACU
Molecule: transfer RNA, 71 nt
Filed under: Candidatus Rifleibacteriota bacterium
Lineage: Bacteria; Candidatus Rifleibacteriota
Description: tRNA-Gly
Rfam family: tRNA
About the family: Transfer RNA (tRNA) molecules are approximately 80 nucleotides in length.
Source: RNAcentral